Molecule: unclassified non-coding RNA, 779 nt
Filed under: Hevea brasiliensis (rubber tree)
Lineage: Eukaryota; Viridiplantae; Streptophyta; Magnoliopsida; Malpighiales; Euphorbiaceae
Source: RNAcentral
GACUAUUGCCUUUCAGUUCCCUUUUGAGAACAACUUACAGGACAAUGUUGCCACCAUGGCUCGUCAAUAUGUACGCAGUGUGAUUUCCUCUGUACAGAGGGUUGCCAUGGCUAUAUCUCCAUCAGGAUUGAGCCUAGCUGUGGGACCUAAGUUAUCUCCUGGUUCUCCUGAAGCUCUUACCUUGUCUCACUGGAUCUGCCAAAGUUAUAGUUACUAUUUAGGGGCCGAAUUGCUGAGGUCUGAUUCUCUUGGGGGAGAUUCUGUGUAAACAUCUAUGGCAUCAUCAGGAUGCCAUCUUAUGUUGUUCAUUGAAGUCGCUUCCAGUUUUCAUCUUUGCCAAUCAGGCGGGGCUCGACAUGCUUGAGACAACUUUGGUGGCUCUCCAAGACAUCACAUUGGAUAAGAUAUUUGAUGAAUCUGGACGCAAGGCACUGUGUGCAGAAUUUGCAAAGUUAAUGCAGCAGGGAUUCACAUACUUGCCGGGUGGAAUCUGCAUGUCGACAAUGGGGCGUCAUGUUUCGUAUGAGCAAGCUAUUGCAUGGAAAGUCCUUGCUGCAGAUGAGGACACUGUUCAUUGCCUUGCCUUCUCCUUUGUAAACUGGUCUUUUGUGUGAUGAUAAUUCAUUCAUCUGAUGUCCUCUUCCUCCCUGGGUUGAAUAUAAAAAAACAAAGGUGGAGAAACAAAGGUGGAGAAUCUUGAAAAUGGAAAAAAAAGAAAAAGAAAAAGAAAAGUUUUGUAAUAUUUAAACUUCCCAGGUUUGCAUAAAAUUAAUUAAAUU